GACGAACGCUGGCGGCGUGCCUAAUACAUGCAAGUAGAACGCUGAAGAGAGGAGCUUGCUCUUCUUGGAUGAGUUGCGAACGGGUGAGUAACGCGUAGGUAACCUGCCUUGUAGCGGGGGAUAACUAUUGGAAACGAUAGCUAAUACCGCAUAACAAUGGAUGACACAUGUCAUUUAUUUGAAAGGGGCAAUUGCUCCACUACAAGAUGGACCUGCGUUGUAUUAGCUAGUAGGUGAGGUAAUGGCUCACCUAGGCGACGAUACAUAGCCGACCUGAGAGGGUGAUCGGCCACACUGGGACUGAGACACGGCCCAGAAUCCUACGGGAGGCAGCAGUAGGGAAUCUUCGGCAAUGGGGGCAACCCUGGACGAGCCACGCCGCGGGAGUGAAGAAGGGUCUCGGAUCGUAAAGCUCUGUUGUAAGUCAAGAACGGGUGUGAGAGUGGAAAGUUCACACUGUGACGGUAGCUUAACAGAAAGAGACGGCUAACUACGUG
This 497-nucleotide ribosomal RNA is filed under the name uncultured bacterium. RNAcentral describes it as "partial 16S ribosomal RNA". It matches the Rfam family "Bacterial small subunit ribosomal RNA", at positions 28 to 507 of the family's 1533-position model. The record is from RNAcentral.